GACGAACGCUGGCGGCGUGCUUAACACAUGCAAGUCGAGCGAUGAAGCACCUUCGGGUGUGAAUUAGCGGCGAACGGGUGAGGAACACGUGAAGAAUCUGCCUUCAACUCUGGGAUAACUCCGGGAAACCGGGGCUAAUACCGGAUAUGAGCCUUGAUCGCAUGAUCGGGGCUGGAAAGUUUUUCGGUUGAAGAUGACUUCGCGGCCUAUCAGCUUGUUGGUGAGGUAAUGGCUCACCAAGGCGACGACGGGUAGCCGGCCUGAGAGGGCGACCGGCCACACUGGGACUGAGACACGGCCCAGACUCCUACGGGAGGCAGCAGUGGGGAAUAUUGGGCAAUGGAGGAAACUCUGACCCAGCGACGCCGCGUGAGGGAUGAAGGCCGAAGAUUCGGGUUGUAAACCUCUUUCAGUAGGAGCGAAAGUGACGGUACCUACAGAAGAAGC
This 447-nucleotide ribosomal RNA is filed under the name uncultured Actinomycetales bacterium. RNAcentral's name for it is "bacterial SSU rRNA". It matches the Rfam family "Bacterial small subunit ribosomal RNA", at positions 28 to 491 of the family's 1533-position model. Lineage: Bacteria; Bacillati; Actinomycetota; Actinomycetes; Actinomycetales. The record is from RNAcentral.